This 253-nucleotide ribosomal RNA is filed under the name uncultured bacterium. Its description in RNAcentral is "partial 16S ribosomal RNA". It matches the Rfam family "Bacterial small subunit ribosomal RNA", at positions 524 to 776 of the family's 1533-position model. The record is from RNAcentral.
UACGUAGGGUGCAAGCGUUAAUCGGAAUUACUGGGCGUAAAGCGUGCGCAGGCGGCUUUGCAAGACAGAUGUGAAAUCCCCGGGCUCAACCUGGGAACUGCAUUUGUGACUGCAUGGCUGGAGUGCGGCAGAGGGGGAUGGAAUUCCGCGUGUAGCAGUGAAAUGCGUAGAGAUGUGGAGGAACACCGAUGGCGAAGGCAGCCUCCUGGGCCAGCACUGACGCUCAUGCACGAAAGCGUGGGGAGCAAACAGG